GCAAAAAAUUCUUUGCCCAAGAAUUGUUUGGACAGGACAAACACCAGAGACAGGAUGCCACUUCAUUCUUUGGGUUUUUGACAAGACAGAAAAACAAAUAAGGAUUUACCAUAACACCGAACAUUACAUUAGCAUUUCAGCCUCAGACAUGAACAUUCUGAGAGAUGCCUUUCGAAAUACAGACUCCCUGGAUGGGUGAACUGUGUGCAGUCUUCGGGUUUACCAUGCCUCCCGUUUGGUUGAAAAUCUACAUAUUGGGGAAUUACAACCUAAGAAAACAGUGCAUAAAGCUGUAAACACAUGUAUGGCCCAGGACUUUGAUGUUUGCAUAUUUCAAAAAAUCCGGACAAAAACAAUGCAUCCAGAUGUCAAAUCACUGCAAUGGAUUCAGUGCGACAGCUGUAAUAAAUGGUUGCACUAUAAGUGCGCUGGUAUUGAUCCGGUAGUGGUCACAGACGACAUGCCAUUCAACUGUGGAUUGGAUAUUGUUCAACCAUGUCCUUAUGAGAAGUUCCGUUCAUUGGUCUAUUCAGCUGUCAUUUCUCAUUUCUCCCCCGGUUACGUCAUUCUUACGUCACAUCCAAUAAGCAAAGACCACCC
Molecule: long non-coding RNA, 600 nt
Organism: Danio aesculapii
Lineage: Eukaryota; Metazoa; Chordata; Actinopteri; Cypriniformes; Danionidae
Exons: 6
Source: RefSeq, a predicted model, not a curated record